Molecule: transfer RNA, 84 nt
Filed under: Cryomorphaceae bacterium BACL18 MAG-120924-bin36
Lineage: Bacteria; Pseudomonadati; Bacteroidota; Flavobacteriia; Flavobacteriales; Cryomorphaceae
Also listed under: 3 other names
Description: tRNA-Leu
Rfam family: tRNA
About the family: Transfer RNA (tRNA) molecules are approximately 80 nucleotides in length.
Source: RNAcentral
GCCCAGGUGGCGGAAUUGGUAGACGCGCACGACUCAAACUCGUGUUCCCCUGGAGUGCGGGUUCGAUUCCCGCCCUGGGCACAA